RNAcentral lists this ribosomal RNA (1050 nucleotides) under Enterobacter asburiae. RNAcentral's name for it is "bacterial SSU rRNA". It matches the Rfam family "Bacterial small subunit ribosomal RNA", at positions 34 to 1079 of the family's 1533-position model. Lineage: Bacteria; Pseudomonadati; Pseudomonadota; Gammaproteobacteria; Enterobacterales; Enterobacteriaceae. The record is from RNAcentral.
CGCAAUGCGGCAGCUACACAUGCAGUCGAGCGGUAGCACAGGGAGCUUGCUCCUGGGUGACGAGCGGCGGACGGGUGAGUAAUGUCUGGGAAACUGCCUGAUGGAGGGGGAUAACUACUGGAAACGGUGGCUAAUACCGCACAACGUCGCACGACCAAAGAGGGGGACCUUCGGGCCUCUUGCCAUCACAUGUGCCCAGAUAGGAUUAGCUAUUAUGUGGGGUAACGGCUCACCUAGGCGACAAUACCUAGCUGGUCUGAGAGGAUGACCAGCCACACUGGAACUGAGACACGGUCCACACUCCUACGGGAGGCAGCAGUGGGGAAUAUUGCACAAUGGGCGCAAGCCUGAUGCACCCAUGCCGCGUGUAUGAAAAAAGCCUUCGGGUUGUAAAGUACUUUCAGCGGGGAGGAAGGUGUUGAGGUUAAUAACCUCAGCAAUUGACGUUACCCGCACAAAAAACACCGGCUAACUCCGUGCCAGCAGCCGCGGUAAUACGGAGGGUGCAAGCGUUAAUCGGAAUUACUGGGCGUAAAGCGCACGCACGCGGUCUGUCAAGUCGGAUGUGAAAUCCCCGGGCUCAACCUGGGAACUGCAUUCGAAACUGGCAGGCUAGAGUCUUGUAGAGGGGGGUAGAAUUCCCGGUGUAGCGGUGAAAUGCGUAGAGAUCUGGAGGAAUACCGGUGGCGAAAGCGGCCCCCUGGACAAAGACUGACGCUCACGUGCGAAAGCGUGGGGAGCAAACAGGAUUAUAUACCCUGGUAGUCCACGCCGUAUACGAUGUCGACUUGUAGGUGUUCCCUUGAGGAGUGGCUUCCGGAGCUCACGCGUUAAGUCGACCGCCUGGGGGAGUACAGCCGCAAGGUUAAAACUCACAUGAGUUGACGGGGGCCCGCACAAGCGGUGGAGCAUGUGGUUUAUUUCGAUGCAACGCGCAGAACCUUACCUACUCUCGACAUCCACAGAACUUUUCACAGAUGGAUUGGUGCCUUCCGCGAACUCUGAGACACGUGCUGCAUGGCUGUCGUCAGCUCUGUGUGAAAUGUUGGG